Molecule: long non-coding RNA, 581 nt
Filed under: Homo sapiens (human)
Lineage: Eukaryota; Metazoa; Chordata; Mammalia; Primates; Hominidae
Description: non-protein coding lnc-DENND6B-1:4
Source: RNAcentral
CACACACCACACACCACCACAUACUAUAUACCACACACACAACACACACCCUACACACACCACACACUACACACCAAUCACACCACACACAACACACACUCGAAACAUACACCACACACCCUACACACACACCACAUAACACACACUACAUACCACACACACCGCACACACCAUACCACACACACCACACACACACUACAUACCACACACACCACACACACACCACACACACACCACACACCACAUACCACACACACCACACACACAACACACACCCUAUACACACCACACACUACACACACACCAAUCACACACCACACACAACACACACCGUAAACACACACCACACACCCUACACACACACCACAUACCACACACACACUACAUACCACACGCAAGCCACACACACCACAUACCACACACUACAUACCACACACACUACAUACCACACAGUACACAUAUACCACACCGCACACACACCACACCACAUAUGGCACACACACACACACCACACACACCACACACACACUAUACCCACACAGCACACAUACCGCACACAGCACACACACCCCCAACACACC